This 69-nucleotide microRNA precursor is filed under the name Podarcis lilfordi (Lilford's wall lizard). Lineage: Eukaryota; Metazoa; Chordata; Lepidosauria; Squamata; Lacertidae. The record is from RNAcentral.
GCCCCUCGAAAAAUAUAUAUAUAUAUAUAUAUAUAUAUAUAUAUAUAUAUAUCUGUCUUCAAAGGGCUG